CCUGGUGCACAUGAUGACUGAUCUUUUUUCCCCAGCAGAUCGACUCUGUUGACUUCAUUUGUAAAACAAAAUAAGCCAAGUGAACUGAG
Molecule: small nucleolar RNA, 89 nt
Organism: Ctenopharyngodon idella (grass carp)
Lineage: Eukaryota; Metazoa; Chordata; Actinopteri; Cypriniformes; Xenocyprididae
Product: small nucleolar SNORD12/SNORD106
Exons: 1
Source: RefSeq, a predicted model, not a curated record